GACGAACGCUGGCGGCGUGCUUAACACAUGCAAGUCGAACGGAAAGGCCCUGCUUUUGUGGGGUGCUCGAGUGGCGAACGGGUGAGUAACACGUGAGUAACCUGCCCUUGACUUUGGGAUAACUUCAGGAAACUGGGGCUAAUACCGGAUAGGAGCUCCUGCUGCAUGGUGGGGGUUGGAAAGUUUCGGCGGUUGGGGAUGGACUCGCGGCUUAUCAGCUUGUUGGUGGGGUAGUGGCUUACCAAGGAUUUGACGGGUAGCCGGCCUGAGCGGGUGACCGGCCACAUUGGGGCUGAGAUACGGCCCAGACGCCUACGGGAGGAAGCAGUGGGGAAUAUUGCACAAUGGGCGGAAGCCUGAUGCAGCAACGCCGCGUGCGGGAUGACGGCCGUCGGGUUGUAAACCGCUUUCGCCUGUGACGAGGCGUGAGUGACGGUAAUGGGUAAAGAAGCACCGGCUAACUACGUG
Molecule: ribosomal RNA, 468 nt
Filed under: uncultured bacterium
Lineage: Bacteria
Description: partial 16S ribosomal RNA
Rfam family: Bacterial small subunit ribosomal RNA
Source: RNAcentral